Molecule: ribosomal RNA, 467 nt
Filed under: uncultured bacterium
Lineage: Bacteria
Description: partial 16S ribosomal RNA
Rfam family: Bacterial small subunit ribosomal RNA
Source: RNAcentral
GAUGAACGCUGGCGGCGUGCUUAACACAUGCAAGUCGAACGGAAAGGCCCAAGCUUGCUUGGGUACUCGAGUGGCGAACGGGUGAGUAACACGUGGGUGAUCUGCCCUGCACUUCGGGAUAAGCCUGGGAAACUGGGUCUAAUACCGGAUAGGACCACUUCUUGGAUGUUGUGGUGGAAAGUUUUUUCGGUGUGGGAUGAGCUCGCGGCCUAUCAGCUUGUUGGUGGGGUAAUGGCCUACCAAGGCGUCGACGGGUAGCCGGCCUGAGAGGGUGUACGGCCACAGUGGGACUGAGAUACGGCCCAGACUCCUACGGGAGGCAGCAGUGGGGAAUAUUGCACAAUGGGCGCAAGCCUGAUGCAGCGACGCCGCGUGGGGGAGGACGGCCUUCGGGUUGUAAACUCCUUUCGCUAGGGACGAAGCGUUUUGUGACGGUACCUGGAGAAGAAGCACCGGCUAACUACGUG